UCACAGCUACUGCACUCCUACUCUUCCAACAAAUUUUAGUCAUGGCGUGGAAUACAGCGAACAGAACCACGGUGUUUGUAUAUUGAAAGAUCUCGAGCGCGCACCUUCUUCACCGGUUUAGAACUGUGCCCAUUCGAUGGGAAAAAUAUUGUUUUAACAAAUGAAGUAUAGAAGUAUGAACAGCCAAAUAUAUUAAUGAACUAGAACGUCACCUGCAUAAAAUUUCAGAAACUGUUAUUUGAGCGGCUUAUGUACCGUAACAAGGCUAUACCAAAUGAAGAAUAUAAUGAAUGUUAUUAUACAGGUAUUGCAACUACCAAUAUCGAAGAUAAAUAAUUUAUAUUAUCAUUCUCUAAUGAUAUAAUCUAUCACGAAAGUUACAUCGAAAUUAAACUUGUACUGUAAUUUGUGAUACUAUAUACGUA
This is a long non-coding RNA of Bombus terrestris (buff-tailed bumblebee), 425 nucleotides long. RefSeq lists it as uncharacterized. The record is from RefSeq and is a predicted model, not a curated record. The transcript is spliced from 2 exons. NCBI's taxonomy places the organism in Eukaryota, Metazoa, Arthropoda, Insecta, Hymenoptera, Apidae.